RNAcentral lists this long non-coding RNA (421 nucleotides) under Dasypus novemcinctus (nine-banded armadillo). RNAcentral describes it as "lncRNA (ENSDNOG00000052751.1)". Lineage: Eukaryota; Metazoa; Chordata; Mammalia; Cingulata; Dasypodidae. The record is from RNAcentral.
CUUUCAAGGAGCAGCUACAGACCAGAAACCGGUAGUUUUGGGGAGCACAAGAAAGACGUACACCUUACUCCUGGGGACGAGGGUGCAUUCCAGAAGCCUGCGGUAUAAAUGUACCUGCUCUCCUUGCCAGUCAACCAGUUGUCUCUCUAGAGCAGGAGCUCGAUGAACAGUGGGUUCCUGAUCCACACCUGCCUGAAAGCCUCCUAAGAGCCUCCUAGGAACUAGCCACUUUCCGGAGGCAGAGCUGCUCGCAGCUGUCUGCAGACCUCUUCCUGAAGCAAGCAGGUACCUUUCCAUGCCCUACGUGAGUGACCGCACACGCUGCCCCCUUCCCACACUGUCCUGAGCAGCGCUGCCACCUUGCCCUGACGGGAAUGGCACCCCUGGAGUUGAGCAGGUGCACUCAGCAGACAAGACCACC